RNAcentral lists this long non-coding RNA (1425 nucleotides) under Salvia miltiorrhiza (redroot sage). RNAcentral describes it as "long non-coding RNA (SMIL_LNC005899)". The record is from RNAcentral. Lineage: Eukaryota; Viridiplantae; Streptophyta; Magnoliopsida; Lamiales; Lamiaceae.
AAUAUCCGAGUCUACAUAACAACAAAAGAACCAUAAUAGAGAGCAAAUGCAACCAAUCAUAAAACCAGAACUGCCUUCCUAUUAAGCUUGAUUAAGAACCACAACAAAAUCAGGCAUCUGAAAGUUGGAGAGAAUAAGAAUAAGCACGGGAAAGUCUAGAUGAAAGAUAAAUUGUAGUAGAAAAAUUACUAUACUCCCUCUAACACUAUAUAAUUGACAGCGUCAAAGGUUGAUCUGUGGCCAAUAACUAGACCAAGUCUUGCACCACCUUAAGCACCUACAUUGAUAACAUACACGUAUGCGUAACAACAAAAAACUGUCACAGGGUGAGGCCCAAAACAAUAUCCGAGUCUACAUAACAACAAAAGAACUAUAAUAGAGAGAGCAAAUGCAACCAAACAUAAAACCAGAACUGCCUUCCAGUUAAGCUUGAUUAAGAGCCACACAACAAAAUCAGGCAUCUGAAAAUUGGAGAGAAUAAGAAUAAACACGGGAAAGUCUAGAUGAAAGAUAAAUUGUAGUAGAAAAAAUACUAAACUAUACUCCCUCUUGACACCCUCGAUGAACACUAUAUAAUUGACAGCGUCAAAGGUUGAUCUGUGGCCAAUAACUAGACCAAGAUUAGCACCACCUUAAACACCUAUAUUGAUAACAUACUCGUAUGCGUAACAAACAAAAUACUGAUGAAAGAGAGAAAAGACAAAACCAAGCCUCAAACCAGAAGUGCCUUCAAGUUAUGAACACCUAGAAAUUGAAGAGUAUUAACAAUAAGUACGGGAAACUCAAGGUAGAAGAGAAAACGUAAAAGGAAAAAUACUAUUCUGCACUCCAUGUGCCACCCUCAACAAACAUUAUAUCAAUGACGGCAUCAAAGAUUAGUCCGUAUCCAAAAACCAGACCAAGAUACUAAGUUGAUAGAAUAAAAUUUAUAUUGUCUCCUGUCACAGGGUGAGGCCCAAAACAAUAUCCAAGUCCACAUAACAACAAAUAAACUAUAAUUACAGAGCAAAGGUGACCAAUUAUUAAACCAGAAAAGCCUUCCCGUGAAGCUUGAUUAAGAACCACACAGCGAUCAGGCAUCUGGAAAUUGAUGAGAACAACGGUAAGCAAGGCAAACUCUAGGUACAAGAGAAAAUGUGGUAGAAAAAAAAACUAUAUGUACUCCCUUUUCCACGCACGAUUAACACUAUAUCAAUAACAACAUUAAAGAUUUGUCUGUGUCCAAAAACCAGACCAAGAAAGCCCCCACCUUAAGUUCCUACUUUGAUAGAAUCAGAACAUACAAGUCAACAUAACAACAAAAGAACUAUAAUAGAGAGAGAGCAAAGGUAACCAAUCAUCAAACCCGAACUGCCUUCCAGUUAAGCUUGAUUAAGAACCAAAAACGAUCAGGCAUCUGAAAAUUGGAGAGAAUAACAACAAUAA